Long non-coding RNA from Alexandromys fortis (reed vole), 174 nucleotides. RefSeq lists it as uncharacterized. Lineage: Eukaryota; Metazoa; Chordata; Mammalia; Rodentia; Cricetidae. The record is from RefSeq and is a predicted model, not a curated record. The transcript has 3 exons.
CUAAGAUGAAAGUCAGCCAAGCCUUCUUCCAGAUCUUCACCACAGAAGUGGCUUCCUCAGAGAACAUCAGUCCACAGCAGAAAGCUGAAGACUACGGUGUUGACUGAAGUUUCUGUUCCGCUCAGCCCUGCAGCCAUUCAGUCCCAAAGAAUCACACAGAGCACAAGUUAGCAC